CUACGGGAGGCUCCAGUGAGGAAUAUUGGUCAAUGGGCGUAAGCCUGAACCAGCCAAGUAGCGUGAAGGAUGACUGCCCUCUGGGUUGUAAACUUCUUUUAUAGGGGAAUAAAGUGCGUCACGUGUGAUGUUUUGUAUGUACCCUACGAAUAAGGACCGGCUAACUCCGUGCCAGCAGCCGCGGUAAUACGGAGGGUCCGAGCGUUAUCCGGAUUUAUUGGGUUUAAAGGGUGCGCAGGCGGGAUGUUAAGUCAGUUGUGAAAGUUGGACGCUCAACGUUCAAAUUGCAAUUGAAACUGGCAUUCUUGAGUGCAGUGGAGGUAAGCGGAAUUCGUGGUGUAGCGGUGAAAUGCUUAGAUAUCACGAAGAACUCCGAUUGCGAAGGCAGCUUGCUAUACUGCAACUGACGCUCAUGCACGAAGGUGUGGGUAUCAAACAGGAUUAGAUACCCUAGUAGUC
This 459-nucleotide ribosomal RNA is filed under the name uncultured bacterium. Its description in RNAcentral is "partial 16S ribosomal RNA". It matches the Rfam family "Bacterial small subunit ribosomal RNA", at positions 339 to 795 of the family's 1533-position model. The record is from RNAcentral.